This 759-nucleotide ribosomal RNA is filed under the name Neisseria subflava. Its description in RNAcentral is "bacterial SSU rRNA". It matches the Rfam family "Bacterial small subunit ribosomal RNA", at positions 28 to 776 of the family's 1533-position model. The record is from RNAcentral. Lineage: Bacteria; Pseudomonadati; Pseudomonadota; Betaproteobacteria; Neisseriales; Neisseriaceae.
AUUGAACGCUGGCGGCAUGCUUUACACAUGCAAGUCGGACGGCAGCACAGAGAAGCUUGCUUCUUGGGUGGCGAGUGGCGAACGGGUGAGUAACGUAUCGGAACGUACCGAGUAAUGGGGGAUAACUAAUCGAAAGAUUAGCUAAUACCGCAUAUUCUCUGAGGAGGAAAGCAGGGGACCUUCGGGCCUUGCGUUAUUCGAGCGGCCGAUAUCUGAUUAGCUAGUUGGUGGGGUAAAGGCCUACCAAGGCGACGAUCAGUAGCGGGUCUGAGAGGAUGAUCCGCCACACUGGGACUGAGACACGGCCCAGACUCCUACGGGAGGCAGCAGUGGGGAAUUUUGGACAAUGGGCGCAAGCCUGAUCCAGCCAUGCCGCGUGUCUGAAGAAGGCCUUCGGGUUGUAAAGGACUUUUGUCAGGGAAGAAAAGGCUGUUGCUAAUACCGACAGCUGAUGACGGUACCUGAAGAAUAAGCACCGGCUAACUACGUGCCAGCAGCCGCGGUAAUACGUAGGGUGCGAGCGUUAAUCGGAAUUACUGGGCGUAAAGCGAGCGCAGACGGUUACUUAAGCAGGAUGUGAAAUCCCCGGGCUCAACCUGGGAACUGCGUUCUGAACUGGGUGACUAGAGUGUGUCAGAGGGAGGUAGAAUUCCACGUGUAGCAGUGAAAUGCGUAGAGAUGUGGAGGAAUACCGAUGGCGAAGGCAGCCUCCUGGGAUAACACUGACGUUCAUGCCCGAAAGCGUGGGUAGCAAACAGG